This 468-nucleotide ribosomal RNA is filed under the name uncultured bacterium. Its description in RNAcentral is "partial 16S ribosomal RNA". It matches the Rfam family "Bacterial small subunit ribosomal RNA", at positions 28 to 507 of the family's 1533-position model. The record is from RNAcentral.
GACGAACGCUGGCGGCGUGCUUAACACAUGCAAGUCGAACGGAAAGGCCCUGCUUUUGUGGGGUGCUCGAGUGGCGAACGGGUGAGUAACACGUGAGUAACCUGCCCUUGACUUUGGGAUAACUUCAGGAAACUGGGGCUAAUACCGGAUCGGAGCUCCUGCUGCUUGGUGGGGGUUGGAAAGUUUCGGCGGUUGGGGAUGGACUCGCGGCUUAUCAGCUUGUUGGUGGGGUAGUGGCUUACCAAGGCUUUGACGGGUAGCCGGCCUGAGAGGGUGACCGGCCACAGUGGGACUGGGCUACGGCCCAGACUCCUACGGGAGGCAGCAGUGGGGAAUAUUGCACAAUGGGCCGAAGCCUGAUGCAGCAACGCCGCGUGCGGGAUGACGGCCUUCUGGUUGUAAACCGCUUUCGCCUGUGACGAAGCGUGAGUGACGGUAAUGGGUAAAGAAGCACCGGCUAACUACGUG